This is a transfer RNA of Dactylellina haptotyla CBS 200.50, 92 nucleotides long. It matches the Rfam family "tRNA". From Rfam's summary of the family: Transfer RNA (tRNA) molecules are approximately 80 nucleotides in length. Lineage: Eukaryota; Fungi; Ascomycota; Orbiliomycetes; Orbiliales; Orbiliaceae. The record is from Rfam.
GCUGCUGUGGUCUAGCGGUAUGAUGUUCGUUUCCCACCGAGUGUGUAACUCGGAAUUUGCGGACGAUCCGGGUUCGACUCCCGGCGGCAGCA